GCCAGGCGCAGUGGCGCGCGCCUGUAAUCCCAGCUACUUGGGAGGCUGAGGCAGGAGAAUCGCUUGAACCCAGGAGGCGGAGGUUGCAGUGAGCAGAGAUAGCGCCACUGCACUCCAGCCUGGGCCACAGAGCGAGACUCCACCUCAA
RNAcentral lists this non-coding RNA (148 nucleotides) under Nomascus leucogenys (northern white-cheeked gibbon). Lineage: Eukaryota; Metazoa; Chordata; Mammalia; Primates; Hylobatidae. The record is from Rfam by way of RNAcentral.